CCAGACUCCUACGGGAGGCAGCAGUGGGGAAUAUUGCACAAUGGGGGAAACCCUGAUGCAGCGACGCCGCGUGAGUGAAGAAGUAUCUCGGUAUGUAAAGCUCUAUCAGCAGGGAAGAAAAUGACGGUACCUGACUAAGAAGCCCCGGCUAACUACGUGCCAGCAGCCGCGGUAAUACGUAGGGGGCAAGCGUUAUCCGGAUUUACUGGGUGUAAAGGGAGCGUAGACGGCAGUGCAAGUCCGGAGUGAAAGCCCGGGGCUCAACCCUGGGACUGCUCUGGAAACUGUAAAGCUGGAGUGCGGGAGGGGCAGGCGGAAUUCCUGGUGUAGCGGUGAAAUGCGUAGAUAUCAGGAGGAACACCGGCGGCGAAGGCGGCCUGCUGGACCGUAACUGACGUUGAGGCUCGAAAGCGUGGGGAGCAAACAGGAUUAGAUACCCCCGUAUAG
Molecule: ribosomal RNA, 447 nt
Filed under: uncultured bacterium
Lineage: Bacteria
Description: bacterial SSU rRNA
Rfam family: Bacterial small subunit ribosomal RNA
Source: RNAcentral